Non-coding RNA from Streptomyces sp. FXJ1.172, 98 nucleotides. NCBI's taxonomy places the organism in Bacteria, Bacillati, Actinomycetota, Actinomycetes, Kitasatosporales, Streptomycetaceae. The record is from Rfam.
UGAAUCCGCGCGGGAGAGUCCCCAGCAGCCUUCGCUGGGGCGCCGAAGGAGCAAGUUCCUCCCUUGAAUCUCUCAGGCCCCGUUACCGCGCGGGCGAG